CUAUACAUGCAGUCGAACGCUUCUUUUUCCACCGGAGCUUGCUCCACCGGAAAAAGAGGAGUGGCGAACGGGUGAGUAACACGUGGGUAACCUGCCCAUCAUAAGGGGAUAACACUUGGAAACAGGUGCUAAUACCGUAUAACAAUCAAAACCGCAGGGUUUUGAUUUGAAAGGCGCUUUCGGGUGUCGCUGAUGGAUGGACCCGCGGUGCAUUAGCUAGUUGGUGAGGUAACGGCUCACCAAGGCCACGAUGCAUAGCCUACCUGAGAGGGUGAUCGGCCACAUUGGGACUGAGACACGGCCCAAACUCCUACGGGAGGCAGCAGUAGGGAAUCUUCGGCAAUGGACGAAAGUCUGACCGAGCAACGCCGCGUGAGUGAAGAAGGUUUUCGGAUCGUAAAACUCUGUUGUUAGAGAAGAACAAGGAUGAGAGUAACUGUUCAUCCCUUGACGGUAUCUAACCAGAAAGCCACGGCUAACUACGUGCCAGCAGCCGCGGUAAUACGUAGGUGGCAAGCGUUGUCCGGAUUUAUUGGGCGUAAAGCGAGCGCAGGCGGUUUCUUAAGUCUGAUGUGAAAGCCCCCGGCUCAACCGGGGAGGGUCAUUGGAAACUGGGAGACUUGAGUGCAGAAGAGGAGAGUGGAAUUCCAUGUGUAGCGGUGAAAUGCGUAGAUAUAUGGAGGAACACCAGUGGCGAAGGCGGCUCUCUGGUCUGUAACUGACGCUGAGGCUCGAAAGCGUGGGGAGCAAACAGGAUUAGAUACCCUGGUAGUCCACGCCGUAAACGAUGAGUGCUAAGUGGUGGAAGGGUUUCCGCCCUUCAGUGCUGCAGCUAACGCAUUAAGCACUCCGCCCUGGGGAGUACGACCGCAAGGUUGAAACUCAGAGGAAUUGACGGGGGCCCGCACAAGCGGUGGAGCAUGUGGUUUAAUUCGAAGCAACGCGAAGAACCUUACCAGGUCUUGACAUCCUUUGACCACUCUAGAGAUAGAGCUUCCCCUUCGGGGGCAAAAUGACAGGUGGUGCAUGGUUGUCGUCAACUCCUGUCGUGAGAAGUUGGGUUAAUCCCCCCACCAGCGCACCCCUUAUUGUUAUUUGCCCCCAUUCAAUUGGGGACCCUUCCAAAAAGGCCGGUGAAAAACCGGAGAAAAGGGGGGGGUGA
This 1162-nucleotide ribosomal RNA is filed under the name Enterococcus faecium. Its description in RNAcentral is "bacterial SSU rRNA". It matches the Rfam family "Bacterial small subunit ribosomal RNA", at positions 49 to 1182 of the family's 1533-position model. Lineage: Bacteria; Bacillati; Bacillota; Bacilli; Lactobacillales; Enterococcaceae. The record is from RNAcentral.